CGAACGCUGGCGGCGUGCCUAACACAUGCAAGUCGAACGAGGUCCAUCCCGUGGCAACACGGGUGAAGACCUAGUGGCGAACGGGUGAGUAACACGUGAGGAACCUGCCCCGAAGACCGGGAUAACCCUCCGAAAGGAGAGCUAAUACCGGAUGUCCCCACCUGGCCGCAUGACCGGGUGAGGAAAUGGAUUCCGCUUCGGGAGGGCCUCGCGGCCUAUCAGCUUGUUGGUGGGGUAACGGCCCACCAAGGCAUCGACGGGUAGCUGGUCUGAGAGGACGAUCAGCCACACUGGGACUGAGACACGGCCCAGACUCCUACGGGAGGCAGCAGUGGGGAAUCUUGCGCAAUGGGCGAAAGCCUGACGCAGCAACGCCGCGUGGGGGAUGAAGGCUCUCGGGUUGUAAACCCCUUUCAGCAGGGACGAAUCAAGACGGUACCUGCAGAAGAAGCCCCGGCUAACUACGUGCCAGCAGCCGCGGUAAUCUGAUGGCGCGAGG
Molecule: ribosomal RNA, 499 nt
Filed under: uncultured bacterium
Lineage: Bacteria
Description: bacterial SSU rRNA
Rfam family: Bacterial small subunit ribosomal RNA
Source: RNAcentral